Brassica napus (rape) is the source of this 2028-nucleotide long non-coding RNA. RefSeq lists it as uncharacterized. Lineage: Eukaryota; Viridiplantae; Streptophyta; Magnoliopsida; Brassicales; Brassicaceae. The record is from RefSeq and is a predicted model, not a curated record. The transcript has 2 exons.
CUAUUUCAUGUCGGCAUGACGAUGGCAUCGUAUCUUAUCUUAGAGAAUGCAUAGAUUUUCAAUUUUCAGUUAAUGGUUAUGUGUGUAUCGAUCAAAGAUAUUAAAAGCGAACAUCCACUUGUUGACACACAAAGAAAAAGAAGCGAACAUCCAAUUUAUACAUUUAUUAGAAUAUCUAAACCAAUCUAAACUUUGAUAUGAUGAUACAAUCUCAUGCACGCUCUUCGAAGACUAGCUAUUUAUUGUUCUUAUCAACCUCCACUACCACUUGGAGAAAGCUCCCAUGCUUAUGCAGGAUAACUCUUUUAUGUCCCAUAACACCCACGCAUAGAGAUAGCAAUUUGCUAACCUGGGCUGCAGACUUGGCACGUAAAAGAUUUCUCUGGGGUGGAUUUGAGCCGGCAUUUUGUAGGCUCGAAAAGAAGGGGACCUCGCGAGUAAGUGUCCCGCAGUAUUAGGCUUUCGGUGGGAUGGACUUCACUUGGACCUACGGUAUAAGUAAAGGACUUCACUUGGACCCGCAGGAUAAUGAUGCCAACCUGUUUUAUCAAACUUAUAUUGUAGAUGCAUCCAUUGAUUGGCAACAUGACCUUGAGCUUUCGCAAUUAUUACAUCGUUUAGGAAAAUGUUUUCUUAAAUAUCAAUUUAUUCAUAUUUUUCAAAAUUAACCUAAAAAUCUAUGGUAAUAAUGUAACAUCCAUUUUCACAUUAAAGAGGAGAAUUAGAUCAUAGUUAGUGAAUGACCUAGAGAAACGAGGCACACUUAUCAAGGUAGCCGCUAUCGACCCCAAUUCAUGAUGGUUCUUUUGGACUCCAUCAUCGUCAAUUUGCCUCCUAUUUAAGCAGGUCGUCUCCUCUUUCUUGGAACUCCAAGUGCCCCUGAAGAACCGUUACUCACUUUCUGCCAGAUCUUUGUCUUACCAGCGAGAUCCCCUCUCCCUAAUCUCGAUUCCUCAUGGUUGAUGAGUUCUUGAUGACCACAACUCCUUUCUCUGGGGUAGCGCCACCAGAUCUAUCAAGUGUGCUAGCAUCUUCUGCUUAUCGUCAUGUUCUGACUUUUCACCAAAUCUCCUCCAUUCUAUGGAGCCUCCCGAUCCGAGAUCCGGCAUAUCAACCCUUCCCUACCCAAUUCGUAUCUUCUUCUCCAAAUUUGCUACUGGUCUCCCAUCCCCUUGCUCUGGCGACCCUGCUAGUGGAGUUCUGAAGCCACUUUGCCAUCCAAUCGUAACACUCACAGUUUCCUCCCUUCAUCCUGACGAUCUCAAAUAUGCCGGUGAUGUCAACAACAUAAGUAGGCCAAAAAGUUAAUAUAGUGGGCUUUGCCAUUAGUUCUGCCCACAAAUUUGUAGGCCAACAAAUUUCAGAUCAAUAAUGUUCAAUCUUGGCGUCAGUUUUGGCUUUGCCAUUAGUUCUACAUCAUUAUUGGUGUUUCUGGCGCACUUGGCACAAUUUUUUUGACGUUGGAUAUGCUAAUUUUAGCAACUUUCUCUUAUUGGGAGAAAUCAUUACACACAACCCUUUAAACUUGUCCUUGUUGGAUAAAUUUAGUCAAAUUUCCUUUCGCUAGACGCAAGAGGUAUGCUUCUCCACUUCCUCUUUUUCAAAAGAGAAAUAUUCCACCAAAAUUCCUCUUUGAAAGAGGUGAUAUCUUUCAUUAUUCAGUCUAAAUUAUUUGUUUCUUAACUGCUUGUUAUCUUAGGUGUAGGUCCACUUGGGGUCAGUAGAUGCAAUGAUUCUCAUCCAGGUGAGAAUCGAAGUUGUAGAUGGUGUUGUGACAUCAUAGGUUAUAGUGAUCUGUUAUUUGAAAAACUUGAAGUGUGGUUUAAGUAUUUUAUAGAUUAGAUCGCAGUUGACAACUUUAAAAAUCUUGCAUGGAAUUUUAUCAAAUUUCCAUAUGUUUGCGGCUCUAUCCUUGUUUUUAGUUAACUUAUUUGUCUGGGAUUUAGUCUUUAUGCUUACACAUCUUGUUUUGUACGAUUUUCUACUGUUCAUGUAGUUGUUUAAAUAUAUUAUUGAAGAUUUUGUGUA